Molecule: unclassified non-coding RNA, 272 nt
Filed under: rhizosphere metagenome
Description: partial ribosomal RNA internal transcribed spacer region
Source: RNAcentral
GUAGGUGAACCUGCGGAAGGAUCAUUAUAGAAAAUGAAAAUCUCGAAGAGCUGGGGGGGGGAGAGCCUGCGCUUAAUUGCGCGGCUUGAUUUACCCUCCGCCUUUGAUACACACAGUGGAGUUUCUACUUUUUUGUUCUCUUUGGGGAAGUGCUUUUAAAGGCGUCUGUCCCCAGAGGUAAACACAAACAACAUUUUUAUGAAAUUAUAAAAAGUCAAAAACGAAUUAAAACAAAAUAUUCAAAACUUUCAACAACGGAUCUCUUGGUUCUC